CCUACGGGCGGCAGCAGUGAGGAAUACUGGUCAAUGGACGAGAGUCUGAACCAGCCAAGUAGCGUGAAGGAUGACUGCCCUAUGGGUUGUAAACUUCUUUUAUAUGGGAAUAAAAUGUUCCACGUGUGGGAUUUUGUAUGUACCAUAUGAAUAAGGAUCGGCUAACUCCGUGCCAGCAGCCGCGGUAAUACGGAGGAUCCGAGCGUUAUCCGGAUUUAUUGGGUUUAAAGGGAGCGUAGGUGGAUUGUUAAGUCAGUUGUGAAAGUUUGCGGCUCAACCGUAAAAUUGCAGUUGAAACUGGCAGUCUUGAGUACAGUAGAGGUGGGCGGAAUUCGUGGUGUAGCGGUGAAAUGCUUAGAUAUCACGAAGAACUCCGAUUGCGAAGGCAGUUCACUGGACUGCAACUGACACUGAGGCUCGAAAGUGUGGGUAUCAAACAGGAUUAGAUACCCUUGUAGUC
RNAcentral lists this ribosomal RNA (460 nucleotides) under uncultured bacterium. Its description in RNAcentral is "partial 16S ribosomal RNA". It matches the Rfam family "Bacterial small subunit ribosomal RNA", at positions 338 to 795 of the family's 1533-position model. The record is from RNAcentral.